Molecule: ribosomal RNA, 252 nt
Filed under: uncultured bacterium
Lineage: Bacteria
Description: partial 16S ribosomal RNA
Rfam family: Bacterial small subunit ribosomal RNA
Source: RNAcentral
UACGGAGGAUGCGAGUGUUAUCCGGAUUUAUUGGGUUUAAAGGGUGCGCAGGCGGCACGGCAAGCCGGCGGUCAAAUCGCGGGGCUCAACCCCGCCCAGCCGUCGGAACUGCCGGGCUAGAGUGGGCGAGAAGUGCGCGGAAUGCGUGGUGUAGCGGUGAAAUGCAUAGAUAUCACGCAGAACUCCGAUUGCGAAGGCAGCGCACCGGCGCCCUACUGACGCUCAGGCACGAAAGCGUGGGUAUCGAACAGG